GCGAAAUCAAUCCAUGGUUCGCCAAAUAAUAAUUUGUUUUUAUUAAGCAUUAUUUUGUGAAGUUCCAUUCUUCCAUAGUCUGGUAGCGAACUGACAGUGACAUAAAAGACUCUUGAAAUGCAGCUACUUUGUUAAGAUACCUAGAAAUACAGGUUGUUUAUGGUCUUGGGGUUGAAACUUAAAGGGGAUGAUUGAGUGAUAGAAGAACCCCAAAACGCUAUAUAAAAUAAAAAUUGACAUUAUAAUAGAAAAUCAUUCAAUUUGCAUUAUUUGUUUGCGAACUGCUGCUUCGACUACAAUAAUUACUAUCACCUUGUGCUCUACCUGCAAGAAACGAACGUUGACAAAUUGGAUAUAACGAGGAAAACACGAAUAACGAUGAUUAUUGGUUAUUUGGUUCACUUUCUUUAUUGGAAAAUUAUUACAAAGACAUUGAAAAGCCUACCUUUUGGAACAAUUUAUGCUUAAAUGUAUCAGCAGUUGUUAAUGGUUUUGUAGAUUUACCGAAGUAUUUCAUGAUUUUUUCAGUGGAAAAAAUCUAACCUAAAAUUUUCACACUUCGCAAAUCCAUUACUAAUAAACUUUAGUUACGCAACUGUUUAAUAACACUUUGUAAUCAAAAUUUAAAUCUUUCAAAUUCAAACAAUCAACACUUUAUAUCACAAAAAACCGCGGAACCAAAGUCAAAACUAGUAUUUACCAUCACACACUUUUAAAGUGAUUCUCUCUAAUGUAAGUAAUUAACACUAUACACGUAAAAUUGUUAAACAAUUCAUUAACUGUUAAUUCAAUGUGGAAUUACGAAAAUUUCGUUACUGUUUUCGACAUAGUUCAGAAGUCAUCACCAGAGGGCGUCUAAUUAAUUUUAUUUGCGAAUAGUUCGUGUUUUUUUAUAAACAAUUGUCAGUGUCAAAAUCAGGAAAACUUAUUGUUGCAUGGCGUUAAUUGAAGAAUUUUAUGAACAAGGUGUAUAUCAGUGUAUAUCAAGUUCAGUUCAUAAUAGAAUUGCAAUGCGGGUAUUAGUUGUUUCAAAACUAUAAAAACGCCAAUGUCGCAUUUUCUCUCAAAACUAGCUGAUACAAAUUAUUCAUGCACUUCAAAAAAAUAAUAGCUAAUGAAAUUUAUAGUUUCAUUGAGAGAUCUAAUCACUAAUAACUAUUUUAGAAUUUCAUCAGUCUUAUUUAAAAAAAUAAUUUGGUAAAAUGCGACAGUGGCGUUUUUAUAGUUUUGAAACAGCUAAUACGUAAUGUAGAUCUAAUUUAUCAAUUUUCCACUUUAAAGCGAUACGAACUACUUUUAUACCAGAUUUUGACACUGACAAUUGUUUAUAAAAGAACCGGGUAAUAGUUUUGAAACAUCUAAUUCACACCUUUAUAAGCGAAAUGUCAAAGGUGCCUAAAAUCUUUUACGCGCCCCCAGGGUAGCUUAAAAAAAUGAAAAAAAGUUGCAGAAAUAAUUUAACUUGCAUCUUAACAAUGUUUGGGUGUACUAGAUUUUAUAGUUUUAGUUUAGUUAAAAAAAAAACAUUUUAAGCUAAGAAAUACAGCUUUCUUCUAAAAAAUCUUUGUCGGCAGCUAUU
Molecule: long non-coding RNA, 1579 nt
Organism: Tribolium castaneum (red flour beetle)
Lineage: Eukaryota; Metazoa; Arthropoda; Insecta; Coleoptera; Tenebrionidae
Exons: 3
Source: RefSeq, a predicted model, not a curated record